CAUGAUGAUUAGGUUUUUAUGCAUGUGUGAGAGAUGUGCCUCCCUUAAACCUUGGUGUGACCUUGGCACAUUACCUGUUUGACA
RNAcentral lists this small nucleolar RNA (84 nucleotides) under Nomascus leucogenys (northern white-cheeked gibbon). RNAcentral describes it as "Small nucleolar RNA U13". It matches the Rfam family "Small nucleolar RNA U13", at positions 21 to 104 of the family's 104-position model. Lineage: Eukaryota; Metazoa; Chordata; Mammalia; Primates; Hylobatidae. The record is from Rfam by way of RNAcentral.